This 6702-nucleotide long non-coding RNA is filed under the name Homo sapiens (human). RNAcentral describes it as "HSALNT0143828". The record is from RNAcentral. Lineage: Eukaryota; Metazoa; Chordata; Mammalia; Primates; Hominidae.
UUUAUCCCCAUGAGAGCAGGCCUCGGUCUUCCCCACCUCUGUGUCCAUCAAGUUACCCAGGAUAUCUGCCUCAUAGUAGGUCUUGCUCAAUCCAGAUGUAUCGCUGAAACCAGGCAAAUUCUCCUGCAUUUCUGUCACUCACCCUUGGCUGCUUCCGGACACCUUACCUUCUCCUGUCCUUAGUUCUCAAACGUGUGGGAGAUUCUGGAGGAUGAAAGAACACUACCUGCCCAACUGGAAGCUAAUUAGCUGAGAAGUCUUAGAGCUCCCAAGGAGUGAGGCUGCUCCAAAGUUGGCUGCUGCAACCAAGUUCCUUUGGCCUCUAGAAAGGAGAAUUUGAUGAUUCCUACUUCUAAGUGGACCACAGCUUGGUGUGGAAUUGACUUGUCAACACAUAACACAAUGUCUUAAGUGCCAGAAUGGAAGGCUCAUAUGAAAAGUGAUUUUGGAAUCCAAGGGCCAGUCAAGAUGUUCUUACCAAGUGGACCUUUAAGCUGAGUUUUGAGGUAGAAGGUGACACAUGGGCAAGGGGUGGAGUAGGACUUUCAAGGCAGAUAGAACAACAUAGAAGGCAUGGGAAUGGUAAAAAACUGUGAUGUGUGUGUCUUUGGCUGGUGCUGGUGGCAAAACUAUAGAUACUUUGAGCUAACUGUAGUGCUCAGUGCUGAUGACAGGAUAUUGGAGCAUUCAUAACAUGGCAGCUUAUUCAUGAAAUAAUUCUUAUUUUUUUAUGAGAAGUGGCAAAGUCAUGAGUCCACACGUACCUUCUAACCCCCAAACCAGACCAACUCCUUGAAUAUUAUUUUGGAGCAGUGUUUGAUGAUCAAGAGGCAUGAGCCUAUGAUCUAUAUUUAGUCAUGUGCUUGACAAUAUGGGGCCACCCUGUAAGAGCAGAGUUUCUGUGUCAGCUGGGGAAGUACUGAUGUCAGGAUGAGAUCCUCUGAUGAUGUUGUCCCCAGCUUGGAAAUUACUGGUAACAAAAAAUGUUAGUCUUUUAUAUUGUUUUUUCACUGAUUCUGGUUGGCUGAUUACAAGGUACAGGGAAAGCAUUGUGAGCUAAAAAAGCACCAGUUUAAAUAUUUGCAUGUGGGUUGCUGUAUAAGAUUUUCUAUAUUUAAUGCAAAAAUUGAAUGAAGUCAUUCUAAUGGGUAUCUGACUCAUUUGGAAAGUGAACACUAUAGAUUUGCCACAUGCCAGUAAACACCCAUGCAUUUCUAUACCUCUUUAAGUAGAUGCUUCAAUACUUGCUCUCAUAUUAGUAUUAUUGCCUAGUUGGCACACUUUAGUGGGAGUGGAAAAAACCAUUUCAUGGGUGUGAGUGGACACCAACCUGGGAGUGAGAAAAUCUACAUUCCAGAUCUGGCUGUCUUAUUGGGUGCUUGGCUGUGUGACUUUAGGCAAGUCCCUACAGGUGGACAUUGAGAAGGAGCUGACAUUGCCUUUUUCUAACUUGGAUGGCACUAAAUGGAAAUUGAGUUAGGACAGAGAAAAGCAGGCUAGACACAAACAGGCCUUAAGUAUCACAGAAAAUUAAAUCCCUGCAGAAUAUAAUCAUGGGGACUCAAAUGCAACAAAAAUAUUAACUCUGAUUUACAACAUUCCCUAAAAAUUUGUUUCAUAAUAUUAAUAUUACAAGAAGACUGAGGAAUUAGUGUCUUUAAAGCUGGUUCAUUCAUUCAUGGUCUUCUUAAAGAGGACCUAUUGAGUGGAUGAACUGUUAAUUGCAAUUUCAAGUCGAGUGUUAAUAGGUGGUAUGUUUUGACCAUUUACUGUGGAUCAGCGCUGUUGUAAAUAGUUAACAAUCAUUAUCUAAUUUAAUCUUCACCACCAACCUUAUGAGGUAGUGCUAUUAAUAUCCCCAUUUUGCAAUGGAGGAAAUUGAGGUUUGCCAAGGUUAAGCAACUUGCCCCAAUCUGAUGGCUGUUAAGCAGCAGAAACUAAAAUAUUGGUCUAUCUCAUGCCAUAAUUGCUUAUCUGUUAUUGCCUGUUCAAUUCUUCACAUUUACAGAACCCUGAAGCAUUGGUUUGCAUCUAUAUUUCCAAGGACUUGAGAUUUGAGAAGGGUCUUUUCAUUCAAUAUCCAUCUAAUCCACAUUUUCUUUUUCCUUGUAAUCCAUGACGAGACAGACUUAUGCCUAAAAAGAACAUCCGUCUAUCAUUCCUUAGGUCAAAAACUUCCUUCCUUGGUGUCCUUUUAUCUUUAAGAUAAAAUUCUGGCUUUAUAACAUGGCAUUUAAUGACCCUUUAGGCCUUUUCCAAUGUAACUGUCUGGUGUGAAUGCUGUAUCCCAACCCAACUCCCCUCAGAUCAGAGAGGUCUAGUCAUUGUACAUCCUUGAAACACUCCUCUUCUCCUGCCACCCUACUGACUUAGGAAAGCUCCCACUUACCCUCCUCCAGGCAUCUAUAACAUGCCUUUUGGGGGAUGACCAUUUGUAUGGUAUCUGUCAAUCCCCAGUCCUUAAUGAAGCCCUACCUUGAUGUGUCAAGACAUCCACUUAAAUCCUGCCUAUAUUUAUUCAUUUGUUCACUCAGUUACUCAUUCGUUCAACAUUUAUUGAACAUCUAUAUGUGCCAGUCUUUGUGCUAAGGAUGUCCUGUUAAAAACCAGAUAGUGCACCUGUUGUAGAUAUUUUUCUGUUUAAUUAUGAUUCAUUUGUGUAAAGGGAUAGUAAUCUUGUUGAGAGUAGAUCUUUUUCCUUUUCUUUUUCUGCAUCUUUGCGUCUUCAAUAUUGGCACAUAGCAAGUUACCAGUAAAUGUUUUUAUUUUUUAUUUUUGAUGAAUUUCUGAAUCACAUUGCUUUUUAACCUAAUUUAUUCAUAUAGUAUCUGAGGAAAUCAAAACAUUUGUGUCUUUUUGGCAAGAAUUUUAUGACUAUAAACUAAAGUAUUGGUUUAUCUCAUGCCAUAAUUGCUUAUCUGUUAUUGCCUGUUCAAUUCUUCACAUUUACAGAACCCUGAAGCAUUAGUUUGCAAUGCUAAAUAUCAUUUGUGAAAAUAUUAUCAGGGUUUCAAAAAGUAUUUUUUUGUUUUUCUUGUCUUUCUUUUUUUGCUCAUUACCUUCACCACACUGAAUGCAAAGCACCCAAAAGAUGUUAUAUGAAUGUAAUGGUUAGGAGGUUUUUUGGUGCCCUUUACUUAACUAUAGAUGAGAACAGUAAAAGCUAGUUGACUUGGUAUGAACAUUUCCUUAAGAGUCUAAGAUGUUUCUGGGUCAAAAGUUCAGAUGGAUUUUGCAGAACUUCAGAGGAAGAACUUCUUCAUUGUAGGGGUUUCAGCCUCAAAAAUGACUUGAAGUACUUUUACAUCUGGCUAAAUUCAAUUCAACCAUUUGCUGUAGCACUUACAACCCUGCACAUUGUACUUAUAACUUAGAUACUGACUUUCUGGUAAUGGUAUUACCCUAAAGCAAAAGGUCUAGAUGAAGAUGCCUGAAAGCUGCAUCUCCUAAGCAAUUUUUCUGGGAGAGAGAAGCAACACACACACACAAACACAUACACACACACACACACACUCUCACACACAGAGAGAGAGAGAGAGAGAGAGUGUUCCAGAGACAAAUAAGUUGGAAAGUACUUCUUUACUAAGUACUUAGUAAAUAUCAUCUUUUGUAUAUUUACCAAGCACAUUUGCAUACAAAAGACUCUGAGAAGUCUAUACAUAAAGAGGCCUCACUAAUUGUAUUACCCCAAAUUAUUGGACUGUACAAUUUUCCCCAUUCCUAUACUACUUGACUCUGGCUUCUUCCUGUGACUCUAUGUCUUCAUUAAUUCAUUCAGCAAAUUUGCAUUGCCCAAUACUGCUGGCCACCAAGGAGUAUAACAAAGUCCCUAUCUUCAGUAGCUCAGAGUCUACUGGGGAAGCAGAUAAGUAAACAGUGGGUAAACAGGUCUGUGAUAUGAGCUAUAAUGGAUGUAUUCAUCAGGAGCUGGAAAUCAGACAUUGUAUUCAGGAAAGUGGAAUAGAAGUAGACUUGCACCAAGUUCUUCAGAAUUGGAAAUUGACCAGGCCAAUGGUCAAGCAUAGGAGAUUCCAGGCAACAAGAAGUACAUGAAAGUCAUUAAAUAUGAAUAAGUGACAAGUCUGCCCUGAUUAAGAUACAGGGUUGAAAGAGGACACUAGAAUGUGAUGAUAUGAAUGAAGCAGCAAGACAAGAUCCUGAAGAACCCUAUUUCUCAUCUGGGUUUGUCCUUUGCUUUUUCAGAACUGAUCCUUGGGUCAGGCCUGGCAGUUCUGGUUUGGCUUUUCAUGCCCUCUUACCAGCAGCAGGGACAGGAGGCACACAAGAUGAUUCAGAAUAUGGGAAACUGGGUUCCAGAGUUGUAGGAGUUGGUCAGAAUAGGAGGCGGCUGUAGAUGCCACUGGAAAGUCCCCAAAGAAUGAGUGCUCCUGAUAACAAAUUGUUUUUCUCUCUCAAUGAUUUUUGAUAUAACCAAAUGAUUCAUGCUUUUCUACCUAUAACACCCAGUACUGCUUCAGACACGGGUAGUGCAAGUGCGCUCACCACCACUCUGCUCUCUGCUUGAAAAUUAUUGUGUAAAAUGGUUUCCCUAAUAGAAACUGUUAUUAUUGACAAGUGGUAAAAUGGUACCUCAGGUUCUUUUUCUCUCUCUAGAUCCUGGCUGCAUAAUAAUUUUCCUUUUGAUUUUUUAAAAUAUUUUUUUCUCUCAGCUAUGUAUGUAUGUAUUUGUAAGCUUAUAAGUGAGAUAAAAUAUUGUUCAUAAAUGUUGUUACAUUUUCUCAUGUCCAGCAAAAAGAAAACUCCCUAGCAAAAUGAUCUUAAAAAUGGAAAACUCUACAAGUUAUUUAUUCCCUCAUCUGUAAAACAGUAGGGCUGGGCUAGCUUGUCUCUGGGGUCCCUUCUAACAUUAAGGUAAUGUUCCUGGUUUCCAUGGGAGUUGGACAAAAUUGUGGACAGCAGCUGUGAAAGAUAAUUGCCUCAGCAAGAAAUUUGUCCCUCACAGACUCUGGGAAAUGGUGAGCAUGUAUUGUAUUUCAUGUUAUGACUGGAAGAUGUGAACAAUAAUUAUGAGAACAUCCAUAGAAUUUCCCCCGGGGUAUAAAAUACAGAUAAAAAUCUCAUAAUAUUAACCUUUGAUUGCUGAUAUUCAUGAAGACUGGAACUCUCUACGGAGCUCCCUGAGAUUGGGACUGUGCUACUUGUCAUCUGGAUCUACUUGUCUAUGAGGAUGCCCAGGCCUUGGCUGGCUUCCAACAAUCAAUUCAUUCAUCCGUCUGACAAAUAUUUACUGGGCACCAGCCUUGUAUAGGGCAUUAUUCUAGGGGCUAAGAAGAAGGAUAAAUAAGAGCUCACAGUGUAGAGGGGAACUCAGAUAUGCAGUCCAUUCAACAGACAUACAUUGGGUGCCUAGAAUGUGCAUGGCUCUUGACAAAUAGGAAUGAAAUAAAUGACAACUUAUGCAUGUGCUCAAGCUCAAACUGAUACAUGGUUACUAAUCCAUGGUGUCUAGACUCAGAAGUUUCACAGAGGAGAUAGCAUAAAACAAGAUUUUAAAGGAAGAGUUGGGGCUCACCAAGUGGCUAAGAUGAAGGCCCUUCUAUGAAGAUGGAACAGCAUCUCCCAAAGUACAGAGGCAUAAAAAACGUGGUGUGGUUGAAGUAGUUGCGAGUGGUUGUGAUGGUCGCAAUAUGGCUGAAGAUAAGACUUGGAGGCUUGAAAGAGCCUCAUAUGCCGGUUCAGGAAAUCUGGAGAGAAAUAGGGACCCACAGAAAGAUUUGGGCAGAAUGCCUCAGUUGCUCGUUUGUAACACAGAACUAAAAAAGCCAACAUUUAUAGAAGUAUUGUGAGCAUCAAUAAUAAUAAGAAUAGUUGGGGGGAGGAGCCAAGAUGGCCGAAUAGGAACAGCUCCGGUCUACAGCUCCCAGCGUGAGUGACACAGAAGAUGGGUGAUUUCUGCAUUUCCAUCUGAGAUACCGGGUUCAUCUCACUAGGGAGUGCCAGACAGUGGGCGCAGGUCAGUGGGUGCACGCACCGUGUGCCAGCUGAAGCAGGGCGAGGCAUUGCCUCACUCAGGAAGCAUAGGGGGUCAGGGAAUUCCCUUUCCUAGUCAAAGAAAGGGGUGACAGACGGCACCUGGAAGAAAGGGUCACUCCCACCCGAAUACUGCGCUUUUCCGAAGGGCUUAAAAAACGGUGCACCAGGAGAUUGUGUCUCGCACCUGGCUCGGAUGGUCCUCCGCCCACGGAGUCUCCCUGAUUGCUAGCACAGGAGUCUGAGAUCAAACUGCAAGGCGGCAGCGAGGCUGGGGGAGGGGCGCCCGCCAUUGUCCAGGCUUGCUUAGGUAAACAAAGCAGCCUGGAAGCUAGAACUGGGUGGAGCCCACCUCAGCUCAAGGAGGCCUGCCUGCCUCUGUAGGCUCCACCUCUAGGGGCAGGGCACAGACAAACAAAAAGACAGCAGUAACCUCUGCAGACUUAAGUGUCCCUGUCGGACAGCUUUGAAGAGAGCAGUGGUUCUCCCAGCAUGCAGCUGGAGAUCUGAGAACGGGCAGACUGCCUCCUCAAGUGGGUCCCUGUCCCCUGACCCCUGAGCAGCCUAACUGGGAGGCACCCCCAGGCAGGGACAGACUGACACCUCACACGGCUGGCCGGGUACUCCAACAGACCUGCAGCUGAGGGUCCUGUCUGUUAGAAGGAAAACUAACAAACAGAAAGGACAUCCACACCAAAAACCCAUCUGUAC